This 854-nucleotide ribosomal RNA is filed under the name uncultured bacterium. RNAcentral's name for it is "bacterial SSU rRNA". It matches the Rfam family "Bacterial small subunit ribosomal RNA", at positions 8 to 864 of the family's 1533-position model. The record is from RNAcentral.
AGAGUUUGAUUCUGGCUCAGGAUGAACGCUGGCGGCGUGCCUAACACAUGCAAGUCGAGCGAAGCGCGCCCCGGAAUCCUUCGGGAGGAAGGGUCGCGACUGAGCGGCGGACGGGUGAGUAACGCGUGGGCAACCUGCCCCAUACAGGGGGACAACGGCCGGAAACGGCCGCUAAUACCGCAUGAUUCCUCUUGGCCGCAUGGCCGGGAGGGGAAAGCCGAGACGGUAUGGGAUGGACCCGCGUCUGAUUAGCUGGUUGGCGAGGUAACGGCUCACCAAGGCGACGAUCAGUAGCCGGCCUGAGAGGGCGACCGGCCACAUUGGGACUGAGACACGGCCCAAACUCCUACGGGAGGCAGCAGUGGGGAAUAUUGCACAAUGGGGGAAACCCUGAUGCAGCGACGCCGCGUGAAGGACGAAGUAUUUCGAUACGUAAACUUCUAUCAGCAGGGAAGAAAAUGACGGUACCUGACCAAGAAGCCCCGGCUAACUACGUGCCAGCAGCCGCGGUAAUACGUAGGGGGCAAGCGUUAUCCGGAUUUACUGGGUGUAAAGGGAGCGUAGACGGCCAUGCAAGUCUGAUGUGAAAACCCGGGGCUCAACCCCGGGACUGCAUUGGAAACUGUGCGGCUGGAGUGUCGGAGAGGCAAGUGGAAUUCCUAGUGUAGCGGUGAAAUGCGUAGAUAUUAGGAGGAACACCAGUGGCGAAGGCGGCUUGCUGGACGACGACUGACGUUGAGGCUCGAAAGCGUGGGGAGCAAACAGGAUUAGAUACCCUGGUAGUCCACGCCGUAAACGAUGACUGCUAGGUGUCGGGGGGCAUGGCCCCUUCGUGCCGCAGCUAACGCAAUAAG